Carassius carassius (crucian carp) is the source of this 327-nucleotide long non-coding RNA. RefSeq lists it as uncharacterized. Lineage: Eukaryota; Metazoa; Chordata; Actinopteri; Cypriniformes; Cyprinidae. The record is from RefSeq and is a predicted model, not a curated record. The transcript is spliced from 3 exons.
CAAAUGAGACCGAUACACCAUCACUUCAUUCAGUUGAAUCAUCGUCAGGCACACAGCCACCAGACAGCGAUGGUCCUUUCUUUCCACCUAAAAGAGCUCGUUCUGAUGACCAUUUGCAAGAAGCUAAGGAGCUUGUGAAAAGUGUUUUAGAAAAGCCUCUGCUGGGAAGAAGAUAUUUCAGAACACUGCCACACCAGUCAAGGAGACUGGGACAUUGAUAUGUCUUCCCUGUUAUUGCUGGUCUAUCUCCUGCCACCACCUUCUAGCAGAAAUUAGAAGUUUGUCAAGAUCAGUGUGCGUGAAGCUUUGGAUCGCGUAGUAAGAUUU